Molecule: ribosomal RNA, 380 nt
Filed under: uncultured bacterium
Lineage: Bacteria
Description: bacterial SSU rRNA
Rfam family: Bacterial small subunit ribosomal RNA
Source: RNAcentral
AUUAAACGCUGGCGGCAUGCCUUACACAUGCAAGUCGAACGGCAGCACGGGGGCAACCCUGGUGGCGAGUGGCGGACGGGUGAGUAAUACAUCGGAACGUGCCCUGGAGUGGGGGAUAACGUAGCGAAAGUUACGCUAAUACCGCAUAUUCUGUGAGCAGGAAAGCAGGGGAUCGCAAGACCUUGCGCUCUGGGAGCGGCCGAUGUCGGAUUAGCUAGUUGGUGGGGUAAAGGCCUACCAAGGCGACGAUCCGUAGCGGGUCUGAGAGGAUGAUCCGCCACACUGGGACUGAGACACGGCCCAGACUCCUACGGGAGGCAGCAGUGGGGAAUUUUGGACAAUGGGCGAAAGCCUGAUCCAGCCAUGCCGCGUGAGUGAAG